CUUCAAAACAUUGAAAUAUAUUUAAUAACCCGAUAGCCUCAACACUACAUAGCCUAAACUCUUCAGAACAUUGUAGGGACCUUUCACACAAGAAUAUAUUUUGCUAGUCAAGAAUAUAAGAUCGACAUUUAAUACGACAUACAGUAUGUGGCCCAGUUUCGGGUCAUUUCAGGUUUGAACUGCUAUAUCUUCCUUUUCAGGAAAGGUACGAUUUUUAAAUGCUCACUUGAGAAUAGGAAAGGUGUUUCUUAACAAUAUUUCAAAAGAUCGACUUUUCUUACCUUUCACUUCUA
Molecule: non-coding RNA, 293 nt
Organism: Paramuricea clavata
Lineage: Eukaryota; Metazoa; Cnidaria; Anthozoa; Malacalcyonacea; Plexauridae
Source: the annotation of a GenBank genome assembly